Molecule: ribosomal RNA, 252 nt
Filed under: uncultured Odoribacter sp.
Lineage: Bacteria; Pseudomonadati; Bacteroidota; Bacteroidia; Bacteroidales; Odoribacteraceae
Description: partial 16S ribosomal RNA
Rfam family: Bacterial small subunit ribosomal RNA
Source: RNAcentral
UACGUAGGUGGCAAGCGUUAUCCGGAUUUAUUGGGCGUAAAGGGAACGCAGGCGGUCUUUUAAGUUAGUGGUUAAACGUCGGGGCUUCACCUUGAUUUGCCAUUAAUACUGUAAGACUCGAGUUCAGACGAGGUAGGCGGAAUAAGUUAAGUAGCGGUGAAAUGCUUAGAUAUAACUUAGAACUCCGAUAGCGAAGGCAGCUUACCAGACUGCGACUGACGCUGAAGCACGAGAGCGUGGGUAUCGAACAGG